AUCUUUGCUUUCCUAGUGUCUUUUGAAGUUUUAUGAAGGUUUUAAUGGUAGAGUAUGGGUAGAUAUGCAUGUUAGGAUUUAUGUGGGUUUUAUGCCCAAUGUAUGUUAUGUGACGCUCAUGUAUGUUUAUAUGAUGCUAUGUUGAAUGUUUAGGCUAGGUUAUGCAUGUGGGAGAGUGUAUGCAUGAGUGGGAAAGAGCAAGUGAGAUUAUGGGUUGUUUUGAUG
This 225-nucleotide long non-coding RNA is filed under the name Manihot esculenta (cassava). RNAcentral's name for it is "long non-coding RNA (MESC_LNC004153)". The record is from RNAcentral. Lineage: Eukaryota; Viridiplantae; Streptophyta; Magnoliopsida; Malpighiales; Euphorbiaceae.